CUUCUCAAUGGUGACUUCAACAUCAUCUAUGAGGCCAGUGACAAGAAUAAUCUCAACCUUAAUAGAAGGAUAAUGGGCCGGUUUAGAAACGCCCUGGACUUGGCUGGACUGUGAGAGAUCAAGUGUAAAAAUCGUAGAUACACUUGGAGCAACGAGCGUCAAAACCCUACACUAGUUAGUAUUGACAAAUUCUUCUGCAACACUAACUGGGAGCUGCUCUUCCCCAUCGACAUUCUGAUGGCAGCGUCGACAGUCGUCUCUGACCACUGCCCGCUUCUGCUGGCAAAUGCAUCCUCCCCUCUUAGACGUGCGAGAUUCAGAUUUGAAGUCUUCUGGCUGCACUUCCCGCAUUUCCAGGAGACCGUUGAGAAGGCGUGGAACAGGCCCACUACUCAGACAUGUGCCUUCAACAGGCUGGCGAUCAAAUUACAAAGAACAACAAAAGACCUGAAAGUUUGGAGCAAAACCCUGUUCAGUGACGCCAAGGUGCAGUUCCAUAUGGUGAACGAGGUGAUCCUGCGAUUGAAUAUCACAUAG
This 537-nucleotide ribosomal RNA is filed under the name Triticum aestivum (bread wheat). RNAcentral's name for it is "partial small subunit ribosomal RNA". Lineage: Eukaryota; Viridiplantae; Streptophyta; Magnoliopsida; Poales; Poaceae. The record is from RNAcentral.